AAUAUAAAAAUGCAAGAUUAUAAAAGCAAUUUGUUUCAAACGAGGGUUUGUGCCUUAUAUAAAAAUCGAGAAUUUCUUAUAAAGUAUAAAUAAUCGAGGUAAUAAAAUUUUUCGCAUCAAAAUAUAUUAAUAAUAAUUUUCGAAUCAAAUCAAUAAAAUUUAGCAAGCUCCCACGAAACCAAAUAAUAUGUAAAAUCAUGCACAAAUCAUAAUUCGCCCCAUAUGCGAGGAAUUACAGAUUCAUUUCACAGAUAAACAAAUAACGGAGCUACUAAAAACCAUUUAAUUCCAUUUUCACAUUGUAGAGAAAUAUAAUUCAUAAUAUUAAAACUUAUUUCAACUCAUAUAAAACCAUUACAUUUUUGUCAAAAAUAAACAACAUGGCUUAUGACUUUUUUAAAAAUUUGGCUUGUGCCAAAAUCAUUCUCAUACUCGGUUUUCAGGGAUUCCUUGGCCUUGGGCUAUCCUAACCAAAUCUGCCAAGGCUGUUAAAAAAUCAUGUACGAAUAAAUCAUGUUUUUAUUUUGAAAACAUAGUCGUUCCUUGGCAUUCGCUGAGUUCACCCUCACGUAGUGGUUUGACGUGAAGUGAACUCUAAAGUUGUACCUCAUGAGUUACCCUACAUGCCUCUCCAACUGAGGUAAGAAUAUAACAGGGUUACCAUGCCCCUCUAAUAGGCUGGUCCACCAAACCCGCCCACUACAACAAGCUAAACCCACCAUGCAAUAAAAUUUGCAAUAGCAUGACAUGGCAAUUAUUUUAUUUUACAGCCUCUCAAGGUAAAUCAACAGUUCAUACAUUUUCAGCACAUUUACCAAUCAUGCCCACAUUAUCAUAAGCCAUUCGAUUCAAAAUACAAUUUAUAACACAACAAGUAGCAGUUUCCAAUUACUCUUGAAUUUCUUGGUUAAAAUGAAAUCACCUUUUAAUAGAAUUCAAAUUUGAUCUUUAAGAGGAUAUUUUAAAUCUUGCUCAAAAUAUCGAUCCCCACAUCACAUUGAAACUCUCUUUUCGUAAAAUGUUCAUUGUAAAUAUUUGCAUGAUAUUUUGUAUCAAAAUAGCGUGGUGAAUAUGUAAUAAAUUUCAUGAAUGCACACCACACAAACAAUAAGGCACAAUUUCCUUUAAUGUAAAUCUUUUCAAAAAGCUUAUUUCCCAGUUUAAAACACUUUACGUCUAAUAUAUAUAUAUAUUUCAAAUGAUUUCUAAAAAUUACUUACACCCACAAUUCCUUAAAAUUCUAUCAACGCAUGCUUUCCAUAAAUUUUGCACUUCACGAAAAAUAUGUGUACAUGUAUAUAUAUACGAAAUUUUUUAAAUUGACACCCCCUACUCACCUCAUAAUAGUGGGAUAUUACUUCACUAUUGAUUCGUACGCAUAUAUAAUUAUUCCUAUUUGUCGGUCACAUACUUCGUUCGGCACUCCUCCACGAUAAACUUUCCUAACAACAAUUUAAACUCAGUAUACUUAAUUACACAUUUGUAUGGGUGGCAACUUAAUUAAAAAUUCCUUAAGCAACUUGCAUAUUUCUCAUCCAAAAUAUGCACAAUAUUAAACUACCCAUAAAUCUUAAAAUAUAAUAUUAACUUACCAUUGGGCCUUUUUCAUUUCUUGAUGACCUUUGGGCCCUCUCCAUGGGCUUCUUCAUUUUUCCUAUUUGAGCUAAGCCCAUUUAUUUUUAUUUACUAUUGGGCCAUGCCCACUUAUUUUCUAUUGGGUCAUGCCCAUUUAUUUUCUAUUUCUUUUCUUUUUAUUUUCUCGUUGGCUCAUUUUCUUCCUCCUCUAGUGGCAGCACUUUUAGCUCUCUUUUCCUCAAAAAUUUGGCAGCACCAAGCUGCCUUUUCUCCCUCAAAUUGGCAGCAUAGUGCUGUCCAAUUUUCCUGCACCAACUACCAACAAAUAGCUCAAAUUUUUUUGCACAAAUUGGCAGCAAACAGCUCCAAAUUUUCUACACAAAAUGGCAGCAAACAGCUCAAAUUUUCAGCAGCCAAAAUCAGCCAUAAAAGCCAAAAAAAAUUUAGCAAUUAACCUAAAAAAAAAUCAGCUUUCUUACCUCAAAAUUUUCAGCGUUUUUCUUCCUCCAAAAAUUGCAACAAAAAGUUCUCUUUUCCUCCCUCAAAGUGCAGCAAAACUGUGCCAAGAAAAAAGCAGAAUUUUUGUUCCUUUUCUCUUCCUCUCCCACAAUUUUUCUUUCCUUUUUCUUCUGCUUUUCUUUUGCUCUCCCUCACAACCGACUUCUCUCUUUUCUUUUUCUUCUUCUGUCAUUUCUUUCAUCUCACAUGGCUGGCCUCACCAUCAUUUCUACAUUCUUCUCUUUUGUUUUCUUUGUUUUUUCUUUUGUCUUUCUUCCUUUGAUUUUUGUAUGGCCGGCCAUUCACCUUAGAAUUCUUUGGUUUGACUUUUCAACAUUUUUUCUUCAUUCCCAUCCAAACCACAUCAUUCCCAUCCUUUUUAUUUCCUUAUUAUUUUAUUAUUUAUUUAUUUUAUUCUCUCCAAAUAAUGCAAUUUACAUGUAAUUCCUCAACUUCAUUUUAUUUGAUACACUUCUUUUAAAUUUUCAUAUUUUAAAAUUAAUUCUACCGACACGUGUAAAAAUUUUAAUUUCCUUCUAUCUUCAAUUUUUUACACGUGUAUAAUCUAAAUAUCAAGAUCGCAUUUCAACACAGUGUCACCAUAAUAUUUAAAUAUUGACUUACCCGCGUUAGCUCUAUUUAAUAAAGUCACGCUGACACAAUUAUCAUCGUUUUCCUUCAAAAUUCUUCUUGACUUCUUCUCCCCCACUUAAAUUAGUCAUAUUCCAUUUUUCAUGACUAAUUUCGACAACAUAUAAAAUAUUAAUAUUUUAAUAUUAUUUUAUUGAAUAAAAUAUUAUUUUAUUUCAAAAUUUUUCACUUGCCUUCUUUGGUCUCGGAACACAUCAUUACAUCUCGGUUUACUUCCGAAUCAUCCUUUAGCUUACUAAUUCCUCUCCAACAAAGAUAUUAUUAUUUAAUUAUUGUUUCUGCACGCGCGAAGCAUUUUAUUCUAGAACGUUCUUUUCAUCCUUUGUCACUCUUUAGCAUGCAAAUUCACAUCAAACGAUCAUUCAUUUGAUCAAUAAGGUCUUAUUUGUGUCCAACGAGGGUGCGAGGUAUUACAAUCUCCCCCACUUAAAAAUAAAUUCAUCCUUGAAUUCUAACCAACACAUACGGUGAACAAUCAAAAUUCUAAAAUUCUUCUACAUCACUUUUGUUGGGCAUUCUCCAUAGAAGAUCUCGAUCUUAUGACUUAAAUCAAUUUCCAAUCUUUAUAGAAAACUCAGCAAUGUCAUAUUACUUUUAUUUAUAAGUACCACACUUCUCGAAUUAAAUUGAUAUUAUUCUUCCUCUUAUAAAGAGAAAUUAAAUAUAUCAUUAAUCCUAGUCACACCUCCAUCAAAUCAUUCUUAAAUCAUCAAUUAUGCAUGUUUACAUAGCCAUCUACAAUUUCCUCUACCUUGAUCUUUUAUCAAACCUUCCGACAUUCAAAUAUUUAUCCAACCAUUGACUACGGGUCUAACUUGUCAACUUAUCUUUAUUUCGGUUUACACACUUCCAUACCAUUUCCAUGCGAGCAUUUCAUAAUACUUAAAGAUAAAGACAUGUUUUAUUUAUUUGAGAUAUAUUUAACAUCAGAGAUGAUUCAAAUCUAAUAACCAUUUGUAACUAUAUUCUCAAAAAUAAAACUCCAAUACUUUCAUGAUCGAGUGCUCGCUAGAUAAUUUCAACUUACACCAUAAGACAUUUCGAUAAUUAACGAUAUUAUUGUAUAUAUCUUUAUAAUUUUAAUCAAUCUUUUUAAUCAAUAGCUAAUUUUUUCAUCAUCAACUGCAUACAACAUAUCUAACUUGAAAUUCCUCAAAUUUACUCUAAAUGCCAAAUCUCAUGAUCUCAUUACCAAAGCCUUUGCUAGUAUAUGAAUAUUCAAAAUCUCAAAUCAUCUUUUCUUCCUAAAUGGAUCUUUAUAAUUCCCGUAACGUAUUUCUAUUCCUUCACUAAGGUUAAUAUCAUUUAAUCAAACCAUAUCACCCUCGUUCUUUAAAUAUUCGUAACACAAUUUAUCCUUUGCCUAUUCUUUUUAGGCACUUUACCUUGAUAAUUAAUAAAAUAAAUUGAAACUGAUAAGGAAAGUAUAUUUCACAAUUUAUGUCUUGUAUUUACAAGCAUAUCGAGACCAUAACUUCAUCAGAUCUAGAUAUCGGUGAGAUAAUCAUUGCCUCAAACCACCAUUUCCAAACAUCCUUAUAUGUUUAUAAUUCAUCUUCAUACUUAUGUGACAUAUUAGUCACGAAUCCCAACUUGACUAUAUAGCCUUUUGCUCCUUGAGCUUUAAUGUUUCUCAUAGUGAAAAAUUUCUUGAACUAUAUCAUCAAGGUGUUCACCGAAUGGAUACAAGUUCAUAACUUAUAGUUCAAUGCCGAAAGCAGUGAACACAAUCUCAUCAUUAGAAUUCCACUCUUACCUACCAAUCGUAACUCCCUUUGUUCAUUUACUUGCACAUUGUUUGGUUACUCACCAGCCAUUGAUGACCAUCCAAGUUCAAACUUUUAUAAAUAGUCAAACUAGUGCAUUCUCACACCUUUCCAUACAUUUCAAAAACCCUUAAACACUUCCUUUAAUACAAUUUCGUUGAAAAUUUAAAUAAUCAAAGGCUAAUCUCCAAAGCCUUUCAUAACCUUAACAUUUCAAUGUAUGCUUAUUAACAUCCCACUUAUUGGUUCCCAAUGGACAUUAUUUUAAGAUCCCCCCAAAGUGUUCGUGUUAUUAAUUCAGACCAUAUUGAACUAACUUGGUAUGAUUACAUUAAUUAUCCUUAAACUUCUUAGAUGCGAUUCUAACAACAUUCGUAUUUCUUCCAUUGCUAAUCCAAUCACAAUUUAGUAUUCACAUAUGCUUUAUGAUCUUAUUGACUAUUUAGGUUCAUCUUUAUGAGAUCAAUGGAUCUUAUAAAAUAUCACAAUUCCUAAAAGUCAUUCUCAUUCUCAUUUACCUUUUGUACUUCCAUCAGAUACAUCUUUAUUCAUUUUGAUAUUAAUUACUCACUUAAGAUUUAGAUUCAUGGGAGUCAUAUGCACCUCUUGCAUUUUUGAAUUUCAAUUUCUACAUAAAGGGAUUCUCAUUAACCAAUUUCAUUAUUGGGACUACCUUCAAUCAUCCUUGUGUUACCACUUUACACUAAUAUACCAUUACUUUCCCUUUAACAUCUACACAAUCAACUCUGAUAUUUAUAAAACUUAAUAUAGAUUUUACUUAAAUGUCCCUCGACAUUGUCGCCAAUAUUUAAUUUCAACCUUGAGCUAAUUCAUGCACUAAUAACUACAACCUAGCAUAGUUCCAUCAAACCUUGGGAUCUCAUCAUUACUUAAUUAAAUUUAAAACCAGCUCCAUUGAAGCUACUAUACACCACAUAUUCGUAUAUAAAAUAUUUCAAAGGUUCAGCACCUUUUAUAUUUAGGCAUAACAAACUUAAUUAACAUAGUGCACUAACUUCUGUGCACGUGAGCAUCAGUUUACAUCUCCUUAAUACUUAAAUUUAUAAACCUCGAGUGGAUCUCAAGGAUCAUUAUUUAUUCUAGUCAAAAUAUACCUCUUAUUAUCAUUAUCGUAGGUUCUCCUUUAUAUCAUCCUCAAAUACCGUCCAUAGUCAUCAAAUUUCUUUCCAUUGACAAUCAUGGCUCAAGUUUUAACUCCACUAAGUGAAUGAGUUAUUACGGACUUAUUAGUCCGACUUCACUUUCCUCCACUCUUGGUCAAAAGAGUAUAUCAUCAUAUCACCCUUUCAUUAGAAGCAUUUACUUAAAAUAUUUCCAACAAUAGUUUGUGUCUCGGGUGGCAUCUCAAACCCGAACAUCGAUAAUCAAUUCUUGUUAUUUAAUCAUCACUUAUGAUUACACAAGGUGGUUUUUAAAGAUAAAGAGUCUAUACAGCCUCCUGUCUGUAAUCGGUGUUGCAGUCACUGACUAUAAACAAGACUCUACGUUGACUCCACUACUCCUCUGUUUGACAUAAGAAUAUCCUAGGACUCAACUAAACCUAGCGCUAUGAUACCACUAUUGCAACGACCUCUCCCCGAUCACUAUCGGUGUCUAAGACUUCCGAAAAAGACCCGUCAAGUCUCGAACAAGCCUAUCUAGAAUUUGCUCGUUAAUCCACUACAUUCAAUCACCAUAUAAUAUUGAUACUUUCAUAUACUAAAUUGAACCAUAAAUAUAAAAAUCAAUACAAAUUUUUUUCCUUUUACUCGUAAGUAUAUGCAUUAAAAUCUAUAAUCUCCAAAUUAAUGCUUACAUAAAAAUUUAGAAUUCGUUUACAACUUAAUAAAUAAAAUGCUACGACUUGACCUCUAACAGCAGAGCAACUUGGAAUAAAAUGCUAGGAGAUGCCUUUACCUAUUCACGGUGGAUCGAAUGCGUCACUGCCUACACGCUAGGUUGAUCCUUAUCUGCAAAAGGAAAAAUAAAGGGGUGUGAGUCUCAUAGACUCAGUGAUAAUCAUCGACUCAACAAGUAGGGCGUAGAUGGGAAAACAAGCAAAUGAUAGAUCAGUUGAAUAUAAAAAUGCAAGAUUAUAAAAGCAAUUCGUUUCAAACGAGGGUUUGUGCCUUAUAUAGAAAUCGAGAAAUUCUUAUAAAGUAUAAAUAAUCGAGGUAAUAAAAUUUUUCGCAUCAAAAUAUAUUAAUAAUCAUUUUCGAAUCAAAUCAAUAAAAUUUAGCAAGCUCCCACGAAACCAAAUAAUAUUUAAAAUCAUGC
Molecule: long non-coding RNA, 6767 nt
Filed under: Theobroma cacao (cacao)
Lineage: Eukaryota; Viridiplantae; Streptophyta; Magnoliopsida; Malvales; Malvaceae
Description: long non-coding RNA (TCAC_LNC003026)
Source: RNAcentral